UACGUAGGGUCCGAGCGUUGUCCGGAAUCAUUGGGCGUAAAGCGCGUGUAGGCGGUCCGAUUAGUCUGCUGUGAAAGUCAGGGGCUCAACCCUGGGAUGCCGGUGGAUACUGUCGGGCUCGAGUCCGGAAGAGGAGUGUGGAAUUCCUGGUGUAGCGGUGAAAUGCGCAGAUAUCGGGAAGAACACCCGUGGCGAAGGCGGUUCUCUGGGACGGUACUGACGCUGAGGAGCGAAAGCGUGGGGAGCAAACAGG
RNAcentral lists this ribosomal RNA (253 nucleotides) under uncultured bacterium. Its description in RNAcentral is "partial 16S ribosomal RNA". It matches the Rfam family "Bacterial small subunit ribosomal RNA", at positions 524 to 776 of the family's 1533-position model. The record is from RNAcentral.